This 313-nucleotide long non-coding RNA is filed under the name Gallus gallus (chicken). Its description in RNAcentral is "lncRNA (ENSGALG00010020893.1)". Lineage: Eukaryota; Metazoa; Chordata; Aves; Galliformes; Phasianidae. The record is from RNAcentral.
GGACAGCCGGGCUGAAGCCAAUGGGAUGGGAUUCAACAAGACCAACUGCCGGGUCCUGCACUUUGGCCGCAAUAAGCCCAGGCAAUGCUACAGGCUUGGGGCAGAGUGGCUGGAAGACUGUGUAGAGGAAAUGGACCCGGGGGUGUUGAAGGCUGUGUAGAGGAAAUGGAGCUGGGGGUGUUGACUGACGCCAGACUGAACAUGAGCCAGCAGUGUGCCCAGGUGGCCAAGAAGGCCAAUGGCAUCCUGGCUUGUAUCAGAAACAGUGUGGCCAGCAGGAACAGGGAAGUGAUUGUCCCCCUGUACUCAGCAC